UGGAUCCAGACUUUGAUCAUGGCUCAGGAUGAACGCUAGCUACAGGCUUAACACAUGCAAGUCGAGGGGAAACGAUAGAGAAAGCUUGCUUUUUCUAGGCGUCGACCGGCGCACGGGUGAGUAACGCGUAUCCAGCCUGCCCAUCACUUGGGGAUAACCUUGCGAAAGUAAGACUAAUACCCAAUGAUAUCUCAAGAAGGCAUCUGAAUGAGAUUAAAGAUUUAUCGGUGAUGGAUGGGGAUGCGUCUGAUUAGCUUGUUGGCGGGGUAACGGCCCACCAAGGCUACGAUCAGUAGGGGUUCUGAGAGGAAGGUCCCCCACAUUGGAACUGAGACACGGUCCAAACUCCUACGGGAGGCAGCAGUGAGGAAUAUUGGUCAAUGGGCGAGAGCCUGAACCAGCCAAGUAGCGUGCAGGAUGACGGCCCUAUGGGUUGUAAACUGCUUUUAUAAGGGAAUAAAGUGAGCCUCGUGAGGCUUUUUGCAUGUACCUUAUGAACAAGGACCGGCUAAUUCCGUGCCAGCAGCCGCGGUAAUACGGAAGGUCCGGGCGUUAUCCGGAUUUAUUGGGUUUAAAGGGAGCGUAGGCCGGAGAUUAAGCGUGUUGUGAAAUGUAGAUGCUCAACAUCUGCACUGCAGCGCGAACUGGUUUCCUUGAGUACGCACAAAGUGGGCGGAAUUCGUGGUGUAGCGGUGAAAUGCUUAGAUAUCACGAAGAACUCCGAUUGCGAAGGCAGCUCACUGGAGCGCAACUGACGCUGAAGCUCGAAAGUGCGGGUAUCGAACAGGAUUAGAUACCCUGGUAGUCCGCACGGUAAACGAUGGAUGCCCGCUGUUGGUCUGAAUAGGUCAGCGGCCAAGCGAAAGCAUUAAGCAUCCCACCUGGGGAGUACGCCGGCAACGGUGCAACUCAAAGGAAUUGACGGA
Molecule: ribosomal RNA, 926 nt
Filed under: uncultured bacterium
Lineage: Bacteria
Also listed under: 1 other name
Description: bacterial SSU rRNA
Rfam family: Bacterial small subunit ribosomal RNA
Source: RNAcentral